Molecule: small nuclear RNA, 107 nt
Organism: Acinonyx jubatus (cheetah)
Lineage: Eukaryota; Metazoa; Chordata; Mammalia; Carnivora; Felidae
Source: RefSeq, a predicted model, not a curated record
GUGCUCACUUCAGCAGCACAUAUACUAAAAUUGGAACGAUACAGAGAAGAUUAGCAUGGCCCCUGCACAAGGAUGACACACAAAUUUGUGAAGCGUUCCAUAUUUUU